Molecule: non-coding RNA, 68 nt
Organism: Helianthus annuus (common sunflower)
Lineage: Eukaryota; Viridiplantae; Streptophyta; Magnoliopsida; Asterales; Asteraceae
Source: Rfam
CUCACGAUAUUAAGAAUGUGGUAGUUCUUUGAAUGCAAGAGGUGUUGGUUCGAAUCCAACUCGUGAGA